Molecule: long non-coding RNA, 600 nt
Organism: Mauremys mutica (yellowpond turtle)
Lineage: Eukaryota; Metazoa; Chordata; Testudines; Geoemydidae
Exons: 5
Source: RefSeq, a predicted model, not a curated record
UGAACAACUGAGGAAGAGAGCGAUCAAGUGACUUGGUCAAGGUCACAUGGAUCUCUGUGAAUAAGCAGGUCAUGGAUCUCCCAAGUUAUAAGGGUCCUUACAGCACUUUAUAAAUGGUGGGUAAGUAUCAUUAUCCCCAUGUGACAGAUGGAGCAAUGGAAGUGCAAAGAGCUAAAAAGUUUUGAUAUAUCGAUACAGAUAUAUUCAAAUACAAUGACAAAAACAUAGCUGGAGUAAAGAUUUCACAAUAACACGUUACCAAUCCAUGAGAGGACACAAGAGCUGCUGUUUUACAUGUAAGAAGGCUGCUCCUAUCAGGAGGUUCAGAAAUGGGAAAUAAAGUUCAUAGUUUACUCAUGCUGAGAAGUGAGUCACUUUUGGAAGUUCCAGGUUGCUGAGCUGAAGAAAAUGGACAUAUUUCCUUUUUCAGAGCUUUGACGGGGAUUUUGUCUUGUGACAUUCAUCCCAUGACUUAGUGGUCUGAGCCUCAUCCGACUGACCAGCUAUAAAACCCCCAAUGACUGAGUUACCUGUUUGCCUCCCUUCAUUAAUUGACAUCUUAAUUGAUCUUUGCUGGGAUCUGAGACUUUAUUCUGAUAG